ACGGGAGGCAGCAGUGAGGAAUAUUGGUCAAUGGGCGGAAGCCUGAACCAGCCAUGCCGCGUGAAGGAUUAAGGCCCUAUGGGUCGUAAACUUCUUUUGAGCGGGAGCAAUAAGGGCCACGUGUGACCCGAUGAGAGUACCGUUCGAAUAAGCAUCGGCUAACUCCGUGCCAGCAGCCGCGGUAAUACGGAGGAUGCAAGCGUUAUCCGGAUUUAUUGGGUUUAAAGGGUGCGUAGGCGGCGCGUCAAGUCAGAGGUGAAAGCCCUGUGCUCAACACAGGAACUGCCUUUGAUACUGUCGUGCUCGAAUACUGUUGCCGUGGGAGGAAUGAGUAGUGUAGCGGUGAAAUGCAUAGAUAUUACUCAGAACACCGAUUGCGAAGGCAUCUCACGAAGCAGGCAUUGACGCUGAGGCACGAAAGCGUGGGGAUCAAACAGGAUUAGAUACCCUGGUA
RNAcentral lists this ribosomal RNA (454 nucleotides) under uncultured bacterium. RNAcentral's name for it is "partial 16S ribosomal RNA". It matches the Rfam family "Bacterial small subunit ribosomal RNA", at positions 341 to 792 of the family's 1533-position model. The record is from RNAcentral.